CCAGUAUACACAAAGAUUCGCUGUCGUCAUGAACAGACUUACUCUUCUGGGGUUAAUGGUCACAUUGUGUGCAGUGACAUGCACGAGCCAGUUGGUUACCUUGGAGAUGGCCUGUGAAAUGGAAUGUCUGAAGACUAAGACAGAGCAUGCAUAUGUCACGUGGGACAGCCCAGAAGCCACUGAAUGUCGCCGAGAGUGUCAGGAAAAUCCAUUCGGAAAGUACCUUCAGAAACCAGAUGACCAUGGCCAGUGAAGCUCAAGUGAAAAGUACAGCUGCUGUGCGGGGCAUCUAUAUCAUGUAUAAGUCAAAGCUGUGCUUAAUGCAUUAAAAUUAGAAAGACC
Long non-coding RNA from Liolophura sinensis, 342 nucleotides. RefSeq lists it as uncharacterized. The transcript is spliced from 3 exons. The record is from RefSeq and is a predicted model, not a curated record. Lineage: Eukaryota; Metazoa; Mollusca; Polyplacophora; Chitonida; Chitonidae.